RNAcentral lists this microRNA (21 nucleotides) under Xenopus laevis (African clawed frog). RNAcentral's name for it is "xla-miR-122-3p". Its record names the gene xla-miR-122-3p. The record is from miRBase by way of RNAcentral. Lineage: Eukaryota; Metazoa; Chordata; Amphibia; Anura; Pipidae.
ACGCCAUUAUCACACUAAUGA